CAGCCGCCACGGGAAUACGGAGGGUGCAAGCGUUAAUCGGAAUUACUGGGCGUAAAGCGCACGCAGGCGGUCUGUCAAGUCGGAUGUGAAAUCCCCGGGCUCAACCUGGGAACUGCAUUCGAAACUGGCAGGCUAGAGUCUUGUAGAGGGGGGUAGAAUUCCAGGUGUAGCGGUGAAAUGCGUAGAGAUCUGGAGGAAUACCGGUGGCGAAGGCGGCCCCCUGGACAAAGACUGACGCUCAGGUGCGAAAGCGUGGGGAGCAAACAGGAUUAGAUACCCCUGUAGUCCUGUCUCUUAUACA
RNAcentral lists this ribosomal RNA (301 nucleotides) under uncultured bacterium. RNAcentral's name for it is "partial 16S ribosomal RNA". It matches the Rfam family "Bacterial small subunit ribosomal RNA", at positions 509 to 809 of the family's 1533-position model. The record is from RNAcentral.